Cyprinus carpio carpio is the source of this 676-nucleotide long non-coding RNA. NCBI's taxonomy places the organism in Eukaryota, Metazoa, Chordata, Actinopteri, Cypriniformes, Cyprinidae. The record is from Ensembl.
GUGAGAGGCUGAUCUCUGAUAGACUUCUGACAUAGGAAAAACAGAGAUACACAUUAGACCUUCUGAAAAAGGAGAAAUCAAAUCACCUGGAGUAACGUUAGCAUUUUUUUCACUUGUUUUCUAUAGACAGUAAGCGCUUUGCUGGCUGGUAUGCGCCCCGCGCGCUUCGCGUUUUGGCACGACCUGCCAUCAUCCAGGCAAGGCUGCUGGGCCAGCUGGUGUUAACUAACGUUACUCCAGGUGAUUUGAUUUCUCCUUUUUCAGAAGGUCUAAUGUGUAUCUCUGUUUUUCCUAUGUCAGAAGUCUAUCAGAGAUCAGCCUCUCACCCUCAAUAACAGCCGGAGCAAGUGUCCCUUGAUUUCUUGAAGACUCUCUAGCACUGCUACCUCAACUUCGACAUCCAUAUCAGCACUGAUCUGAACUAAAUCCUCCAUUACUCUGCACAAACGAAACUGGAGAUAGUCAUUGGACGCAUUGUUCUCACAAUCCUGCGCUAAUGAUCUUAAAUCGUUAGCAAUUGCUUGAACAAAAGUCUCCAUCCAGGCUACAUGAAACUGAAAACAGCCUCUAUUAACUCAAGCAGCAUUACCGAGUACCAGCGAAAUCAAGGCAGUAGUAGUAGAUUCGAUCACAUCGCUCUAACCAAUCCUUCUUCAGACUGAUGUUGGCACCCCCC